AAGAAAUAACAAUACGGGGCUUUAAGUCUUGUAAUUGGAAUGAUGGGAAUUUAAACCUCUUCCAGAGUAUCAAUUGGAGGGCAAGUCUGGUGCCAGCAGCCGCGGUAAUUCCAGCUCCAAUAGCGUAUAUUAAACUUGUUGCAGUUAAAAAGCUCGUAGUUGAAUUUCUGCUGUAUCGUUUUCCUCUGCUUGACAGUUGGAUUUCGUUAUGGCUUAGUUGGGUUACAGUUUCUGUUACCUGACGUUUACUUUGAGAAAAUUAGAGUGCUUCAAGCAGGCUUUUGCCUUGAAUACUUUAGCAUGGAAUAAUGGAGUAGGACUUUGGUUCUAUUUUGUUGGUUUUAGGAGCCAGAGUAAUGGUUAAUAGGAACAGUUGGGGGCAUUCGUAUUUGACUGUCAGAGGUGAAAUUCUUAGAUUUGUCAAAGACGAACUACUGCGAAAGCAUUUGCCAAGGAUGUUUUCAUUAAUCAAGAACGAAAGUUAGGGGA
This 489-nucleotide ribosomal RNA is filed under the name Theileria equi. RNAcentral describes it as "SSU rRNA". It matches the Rfam family "Eukaryotic small subunit ribosomal RNA", at positions 472 to 997 of the family's 1831-position model. The record is from RNAcentral. Lineage: Eukaryota; Apicomplexa; Aconoidasida; Piroplasmida; Theileriidae.